This 253-nucleotide ribosomal RNA is filed under the name uncultured bacterium. RNAcentral describes it as "partial 16S ribosomal RNA". It matches the Rfam family "Bacterial small subunit ribosomal RNA", at positions 524 to 776 of the family's 1533-position model. The record is from RNAcentral.
UACGUAGGGGGCAAGCGUUGUCCGGAAUCAUUGGGCGUAAAGCGCGCGUAGGCGGCUAGAUCAGUCUGCUGUAAAAGUCAAAGGCUCAACCUUUGAAAGCCGGUGGAUACUGUCUAGCUAGAGUCCGGAAGAGGCGAGUGGAAUUCCUGGUGUAGCGGUGGAAUGCGUAGAUAUCUGGAGGAACACCGGUGGCGAAGGCGGCAUCCUGGACCGACACUGACGCUGAGGAGCGAAAGCCAGGGGAGCAAACGGG